UGGGGGAUAUUGCACAAUGGGCGCAAGCCUGAUGCAGCGACGCCGCGUGGGGGAUGAAGGCCUUCGGGUUGUAAACUUCUUUUGCUCUGAACAAGGCGCACUUUGGGGUGUGUUGAGUGUAGGGAUUGAUUAGCGCCGGCUAACUACGUGCCAGCAGCCGCGGUAAUACGUAGGGCGCGAGCGUUGUCCGGAAUUAUUGGGCGUAAAGGGCUUGUAGGUGGCUGGUUGCGUCUGUCGUGAAAGCUCAUGGCUUAACUGUGGGUUUGCGGUGGGUACGGGCUGGCUUGAGUGCAGUAGGGGAGGCUGGAAUUCCUGGUGUAGCGGUGGAAUGCGCAGAUAUCAGGAGGAAUACCGGUGGCGAAGGCGGGUCUCUGGGCUGUUACUGACACUGAGGAGCGAAAGCAUGGGGAGCGAACAGG
Molecule: ribosomal RNA, 419 nt
Filed under: bacterium
Lineage: Bacteria
Description: partial 16S ribosomal RNA
Rfam family: Bacterial small subunit ribosomal RNA
Source: RNAcentral